This 511-nucleotide unclassified non-coding RNA is filed under the name uncultured Entrophospora. Its description in RNAcentral is "bacterial SSU rRNA". It matches the Rfam family "Eukaryotic small subunit ribosomal RNA", at positions 569 to 1077 of the family's 1831-position model. The record is from RNAcentral. Lineage: Eukaryota; Fungi; Glomeromycota; Glomeromycetes; Entrophosporales; Entrophosporaceae.
AGCAGCCGCGGUAAUUCCAGCUCCAAUAGCGUAUAUUAAAGUUGUUGCAGUUAAAAGCUCGUAGUUGAAUUUCGGGGUUAGUAGGUUGGUCAUGCCUCUGGUAUGUACUGGUCUCACUGAUUCCUCCUUCCUGAUGAACCUUAAUGCCAUUAAUUUUGGUGUUUUGGGGAAUUUGGACUGUUACUUUGAAAAAAUUAGAGUGUUUAAAGCAGGCAUUUUUGCUUGAAUACAUUAGCAUGGAAUAAUAAAAUAGGACGGCAUGGUUCUAUUUUGUUGGUUUCUAGGACCACCGUAAUGAUUAAUAGGGAUAGUUGGGGGCAUUAGUAUUCAAUUGUCAGAGGUGAAAUUCUUGGAUUUAUUGAAGACUAACUACUGCGAAAGCAUUUGCCAAGGAUGUUUUUCAUAUUCAAGAACGAAAGUUAGGGGAUCGAAGACGAUCAGAUACCGUCGUAGUCUUAACCAUAAACUAUGCCGACUAGGAAUCAGACGAUGUUAAUUUUUUCAAUGACUC